RNAcentral lists this ribosomal RNA (2101 nucleotides) under Helioactinomyxon sp. type 2 TGR-2014. Its description in RNAcentral is "SSU rRNA". It matches the Rfam family "Eukaryotic small subunit ribosomal RNA". The record is from RNAcentral. Lineage: Eukaryota; Metazoa; Cnidaria; Myxozoa.
ACCUGGUUGAUCCUGCCAGUGCGCACACGCUCUCUUUAAAGAUUAAGCCAUGCACGUGCUAAGUUCAUACAUUAAAAAUGUGAGACUGCGGACGGCUCAGUAUAUCAGUUAUAAUCUGCUCGAUUGUUAUGGUUAUUGGAUAACCGUGGGAAAUCUAGAGCUAAUACAUGCUAACGUUGGGUGUGGCACCCGCCACAUUCAGCCGCAUUUAUUAGAGAAUACCAAUCGCAUGAGCAAUCAUGUGUGGUGAAUCUAGAUAACUUUGCUGAUCGCAUGGCCUAGAGCCGGCGACAUUUCGAUUGAGUUUCUGCCCUAUCACCUUGAUGCUAGUGUAUUGUACUAGCAUGGGAGUAACGGGUAACGGAGGAUCAGGGUUCGAUCCCGGAGAGGGAGCCUGAGAAACGGCUACCACAUCCAAGGAAGGCAGCAGGCGCGCAAAUUACCCAAUCCAGACAAUGGGAGGUGGUGACGAAGAGUACCGGAUGACUAAAAUUAUUUUAGUCAGUCUGGAAUGAAAUCAAUUUAAGCAAUUGAGUUGAGUAACUACUGGAGGGCAAGUCUGGUGCCAGCAGCCGCGGUAAUUCCAGCUCCAGUAGCGUGUCUCAAAGUUGCUGCGCUUAAAACGCUCGUAGUGGGAUGAGAAACUACAUGCUGGAUAGUUAUGAACUAGGUUAAAGAGCUAUUAUCAUAUAUGACUGUGAUGCUUCUGGUGUCCAGCAUAUUGGUAUUAGUUCAACUAGUAAUAACAUAUAACUGGUGUGUAGUAAUUGCGUAUGAGGAUGACCAUUGACCUUAAGUGUGUUGAAGGUCGUGUCUCAUGGGAUGUGCCUUGAGUAAAUCAGAGUGCUCAAAGCAGGCGUGAUGCCUGAAUGUUGAUAGCAUGGAACGAACAAUAGUGUAGAUGUGUAUUGAAAACGUAGAUGCUAUUAUGACCUAAUAGUAUUCUACUACAAUAUGCAACACCGACCCGCCAAUUACGGAUGUUGGUUCCGUAUUGGGGUACUGAUUAAGAGGAGCGGUUGGGGGCAUUGGUAUUUGGCAGCGAGAGGUGAAAUUCUUGGACCUGCCAAGGACUAACAAAUGCGAAGGCAUUUGUCCAGACCGUAUCCAUUAAUCAAGAACGAUAGUGAGAGGUUCGAAGACGAUCAGAUACCGUCCUAGUUCUCACUGUAAACUAUGCCGACCCGGGAUUAGUCCUAUGCCUUAUUAUUACGGCUUGGGUUGGUCCCCCCGCGAAACCAAGUUUUUCGGUUGCGGGGGGAGUAUGGUCGCAAGGCUGAAACUUAAAGGAUCCGACGGACGGUACCAAGCUUGAUGCAUACGGCUUAAUUUGACUCAACACGGGAAAACUUACCGGAUCAGGACAUCAAAAGGAUUGUCAGACCGAAGAUCUUACAUGAUCUGGUGAUUGGUGGUGCAUGGCCGUUCUUAGUUCGUGAAGUGAUUUGUCAGGUUAAUUCCGGUAACGGACGAGAUCACAAUCUCCAUUUGACGAACUGGAGUAAAUGUGAAUAAUUGUUAUUUUUUGUAAAAGAAAAAUAAUAAUAUAUUAACAUUGUUGGUAAAAUGUGAUAUUAGUAUGGAAAGGAAAAAAUAUGUGGUAAAACAUGUAUUUUGAAUGGAAGUAUUGAUGUUGCAUUUUGCCUCCAGUCAAACAUUGUAUAGCUAGCUUUUAGUUGUAUGGUGUAUCAUGGAGAGACAACGGAACAUAAUCAAAAUCCGAGGAAGUGUGGCUAUAACAGGUCUGUGAUGCCCUUAGAUGUUCUGGGCCGCACGCGCGCUACAAUGGCGACGACAACGAGUGUCUGAAUCGAAAGAUUUGGGUAAUCUUAGAAUCGUCGCCGUGAUGGGGAUUGAUGUUUGUAAUUACGUCAUGAAAGAGGAAUCCCUAGUACGUGCGAUUCAUUAAAUUGCGCGGAUUUAGUCCCUGCCCUUUGUACACACCGCCCGUCGCUACUACCGAGUGAAUGGUGUCAUAAUGCCUUGGGAGCGGACAUCGUUUGAACCUUGUGUUCAAUUAGAUGCUGCGAUCAGCGUAGAAUGGCGCAAUUUCGAGGAAGUAAAAGUCGUAACAAGGUUUCCGUAGGUGAACCUGCGGAAG